This 98-nucleotide Y RNA is filed under the name Propithecus coquereli (Coquerel's sifaka). Its description in RNAcentral is "Y RNA (ENSPCOG00000007018.1)". It matches the Rfam family "Y RNA". From Rfam's summary of the family: Y RNAs are components of the Ro ribonucleoprotein particle (Ro RNP), in association with Ro60 and La proteins. Lineage: Eukaryota; Metazoa; Chordata; Mammalia; Primates; Indriidae. The record is from Rfam by way of RNAcentral.
GGCUGGCCCAAGUGCAGUGGUGUUUACAAUUGAUCAUAGCCAGUUACAGAUUUAUUUGUUCCAUCUCUACUUUCACUUUUUCACUUGACUAGCCUUAA